This is a non-coding RNA of Pelobates cultripes (western spadefoot toad), 892 nucleotides long. The record is from the annotation of a GenBank genome assembly. NCBI's taxonomy places the organism in Eukaryota, Metazoa, Chordata, Amphibia, Anura, Pelobatidae.
CAGUGAUAUGGCAACAUAUAAUGUAUAACAAUUAUAACAUGCCUGUGAAACAUUAGGUAUGCAUAACGUCUCAUGGAAAACAACUUCAGCAAAACAGUGGUAGUAUUUAGUGCUGCGAUGUUGUGUUAUGUAAGUGGCUAAGUUAGGAGCACUGUCCUUGGCAUUAAUGUGGCCUCAUGUAGCGUACCCUUUCUAAAUGUCCCCUACACUCGGAGUUAGUGUUAUCUGCGAUGUUGCCAUCUCGAAAGGCUAGUGCUAGUGUUAGCUGAGUGUGCCCCUGCUCUACUACUUGUUGUAGUCUACAAGCUAGCAUGCGGUUAGCUGAGUCUAUGCCCGCCUGUCCGUGCUCCUACAAAAUUUUUGUCUUGACUUGGGGCAGCGUGUGCGGAAGGGUAGGACCGGCCCGUCUUGUCCCGUCAGGCAUCUCGGGCUAUACCGGCCUGCUCGAGGCGGCUGCGCCCAUUAGAUGGGUAUCUGGCCGACCGGCAUGUCUCUGCCCUCAUCGCUUCGUGAGGCAUAUACGAUCCCAUGGGGGCCGACCCACUCAGUCAGUCAGAACCUGCAAGGCGUAGGGCCUAGUGUGCUCAGGUACUCUACGGGUACUUGCCUCCGCUAGUGUUGCUUGGCCUGCAUGCUCCUCAUCUUUAGUGCGCUACAAUGGGGCAUUCCCUUUGAGUUUGUUCCUGUUAAUUAUCUUGGGGGCUAGCCAUGGGCGUCCGCAGGAAUUUUUCCAGGGGGGGGGGGGCAUAAUUGUAAUGACAUCCAUGCUUGGUACCUUUUUGACAGUGUCAUGAAAGGGAAGGGGCAUAGCCAUUAUCACAUAAAGCCAGGGUGAAUAGCGUUUUCACAACUAUGGUGUCAGGAAUAUAUGUUUGUAUUCCUGACACUAUAG